Molecule: long non-coding RNA, 4648 nt
Organism: Cyprinus carpio carpio
Lineage: Eukaryota; Metazoa; Chordata; Actinopteri; Cypriniformes; Cyprinidae
Source: Ensembl
AAUGCUAACUCGCUUCUGGGUUUUUGCCUACUAAGUGACAUCAUAGUUCCACCACUCUAUAUGCAUUAGGUGAUCACUGAAAGAAAUGUGAGUGAUUUGGUGAGCAGAUGCUCAUGGCUCUCCAGUCUAGUGUUUGUUUAAGUAUUGUCAAAUUGCACUUUUGCAUUUCUUCUUCAUCUUGUCUUGCCACAUGACAAAAUUUUAUACUUACUAUAAUUAGUACUACCUAGUUCCAGCGGAACAUGACUGUGUGAAAAAGUCAACCUUUAGAAUAUCACCUCCCUGUUCCCUUUAGGCCUAAUAAAUAUACUUCCUGUUUCUCUAUGUAGUUCUAGGUUGUGGGAUUACAGAUUUAUAAAAUGUUAAAUCUAGGUUCCAAUGUAAUAUUAUGUACAUUGUGUUUUUACAUUUUGAGGUUAAGAUGAUGACAUUCUGAGAUGAUCAAGUCAAACAGCCCAGGUUUCUGAGAUAUUGACCUUUUGUUUGCUCUUCCUGACCAUCUGGCUUCUUAAGAUCAAGGCACAGCUGUGCCUUUGUUUCUAUGAUAAUGUGAAGGUAUGGGUGAUACUGUCAGGCACCUCUGUAUUUAAAUGACACUUUAAUGCUGAUGAGAUCAAGGCUUCAAAUUCCAUUUGCUUGCUUUGUUUAAAUUGUCUCCACCUCUAUGUAUCCCUCCCCCUUGAAAUGUAUAUAAACUCCAAAAUAUCACUGCUUUGGUGAGACUUUUGAUGACGGCAGUGCUAAGCAGAGCGUUCUCAAUAAAGAAUUCUGCUGAAGAUUACCCAAGAGUCUCCUGGUCUUCGCUUCAGAGUUUCCAACAGUUUUGGUGCCGUGCCCUGGAUAGAGCUUCUCACCUGAAUCCAGCUAUCCUCUGCUUUGCCAGGGAAAGUUAACAGGUGUGUUAACAAGUGUAUCCUCUGCUUGCCAGGGAAGUGUUAGAAGUGUCCUGUUGUGUCAGAAAGACUUUACAAAAUGUUGAGAAGGAAUGCUAAGCUGAUUCCAACAACUAAGAAAGGUGGACUAGCUACUCCUUCAUGGACAGACAGUGAGUUCAAAUCAUUUUUAGGACAGCACAUGGACUCAAUAGUGACAGAGUCAGUCAGAUUGAAUUUGAUAAAGAAAUUUGGUAUUGAUCCAGAAAAAGUAUGGUCAGUUGAAGAAUGUAAAAAGGUACUAGGAUCAUGUAUUCGCAAAAACAAUGUGAAAGGCAUUAUCUGCUGCCACAGAGAAUUUGGUUUAGCUUUAGCUACGCAACAUUCUCAGCGUAACUCAGAGCUAGAGAAACAGAACAAAGAGCUCAGAGCUAGAGUAUCCUCUUUGACUAAGGAAUUAAACUGCAGCAAAAUCUGAUGUGGUAGAAGUUAGUCAGCCUGAUAACAUUUAUCCUGACUUACAAGCUUUCUUUGAAACAGAUGUAGCCAUCCAGUCAGUAACUGAUGUGCCUGUAAAUUCAGUGAAGGUAUGUGGAGCUAGGAGAAGUUCUCAGGGAAUUGAGGGAACUGAAAGUGUUCCUCCCAACUCUUCUGUUGUCCGAGCUGUUGCCAAAGCGCUAAGACCUAAAGAUAUAGAGAGACUAUCCCAGAGUUUACUGAACGCACAAAUUUUACUGAAUUCAGAAGAGCAUUGAUCAGCAAAAUGAGUCUCUAUGACAUGUCGUUAGCAGAAGUCACACAGCUGAUGUCACAAAUUCUAACUGAAUCUGAAUUCAACAGUUUUGAGUGUGCUGUUACUUCUGAACUAUAACAUGCCAGUAAAGAUGAAUUAAGAGAGGGAGUUCUGAGAGAGUUAAAGAACAUUGUUAGACCAAAAGUGAAUUGGUCAAAGGUCACUAGUUGUGUACAGAAGGAGGCUGAAGCUGUGAGUGAAUACACUGAAAGAUUUUGAAAGUCACCAGUAACUUACAGUGGAAUAGUUGAUGAUCCUGAAAGUGUGUUAGAUGGGACCAUUAGUCCGCAUCUGGUCAGAUGGCCUUGUAGCUGAGUACAGAAAAGCCUUGCCAUUCCUAGAUCUAACUUGGUCUAACAAAACUCUCAGAAGAAAUCUAGACAGUUUAGCUACAUGGGAAAGAGACUCUGAUGUUAAAGUCAGAGUACACAUUGCAGCAGCAUCCUUUCAUGUCAACACAGUGAACCGACAGAAAUGUAGAUGUCUUAAGAAGGAGCGCAGUUGUCAUUACUGUGGUAAAACUGGACACUGGAUGAAAAAGUGUAGGAAUAGCAAAAAGACAUUAAGAGAAAUGAACAGCUUUACUCAGCUCCUAUUGAGUCUACUUACCACUCUAAAGCAGCCCCUCCCCACUUCACCUAACUGUUGAAGCAGCUUGCUCAGGUGUUAACUGUUAGGGCUGUGAGUGCUUAACUACCCCAGUAAUGUAUAACAAAGAUGAAAGAUUCUUUGAAAAUAAAACUACAGGAAGGUGACUGUCACUUCCUUUCAUUGAGAGAACGUUAAGUACACUCUCAGCCUUCAAAGCUAUAUUACAGCACACUCCAGUCACUCCUAUUCUCUUUGGGUUAUGAUGUUUUGUUAUGACUGAUGUUCCAUUAGAGGAUGGAGAUGUUGUACAGUCAAGUUUGCACACCAACUACAGGGACAGAUUAGGACACACACAGACCAGUGGGGAGCCCAAGGAAGAACCAAAGUGCAACGGGCCUCGGGGGCCAACCCUGUGGUGAAGACUUCCUCAUAGGUUUCCCCUAUCAGUAGUUUUAUCCCCACCUCACUGGUCCAUAGGUGUCAAAUUACUUAAAACUAGGUUGAGAAAAACACUAUACGAUCACCAGACUUAAAACCACUAUACGAUCAACAGAAGUCUAAAAAUGUCUAUGCAUGAAUACUGCUGGUCUGCUGUUUCUUUGUUUUCUUGUGUUGCAGGUAUGUGUGCAUGCCAUGUCACCUUCAUAUGCGGCACCCUGGUGUAAAGCAUCACCUAAGACAUCCAUGAACAAGCUUCAUGAGGACCAGGCGUCUCUACGUGGGAAAUGGACUACAGAAAACAGACUUCACAGCUAUUCAGGCGCCAUGGACUUCAAGACUUCCACUCUUAUGCUACAUGGUUUUCUGUGUCAUCAUGUAGUUUCCACGACAUGUUACCAUCCAUGUCAUAUGUGUCCACAGUUAUGGUUCUAAAAAUAACUAUUACACCUAAGUAAAUCUAGGACAAGACACAGAAUAAGAUAUGUGCCUUUUCAGGUUACAUGACUGCAAGAUGGGGCUUAUGUUAACACACAUAGGCCAUAGAAUGGACUUAUGAAGGUUUAAAUUUGUAUUAUGUGAGAGUUAUUAGAACUCUCAAUGGGAGGACUGUAGGAUUACAAAUUUAUAAAAUGUUAAAUCUAGGUUCCAAUGUAAUAGUAUGUACAUUGUGUUUUUACAUUUUGAGGUUAAAGGGUACAUAACAUACACAGUUUCACCAAAUCUCAUGUUAAUCUUUAGUACCUAUAGAGUAGUACUGCAUCCUUCAUAUCUCCAAAUAGUCUUUAGUUUUAUCAUAUUUAUAAAAGAAAAAUACAGCUUUCCGAUUCUCUCCGGAAAAAGCAGAGCUCCUGGAGGCGUGCCGUGGGUGGAGCUAUAAUACUGAUGUUUCGUGUUGUUUCCAUUAACAUACAGUAUAUUCACUUAUGUGCGAAUUUCCUACAAAAGACAGAAAUCUGAUGCAGUUGUACUUACAUGAAUUGGGUCUUUCAUCACUGGGUCCGCUCCAUUAUUUAAUAGCAAACCAUGUGAAAAUCCAGCGUCGACCUAGGCCUUGACUGAAAUGACGAGAACACACUGCAACACUCCGUUGCUGCCCCGGAAAAACAAACUGCAUCCACUGUUCGUGUAACGCUGGGUUUUUUGGGAAUCUGAACACGGUAAACCUUCCCUCACAUCCAAAAACACACUUAUUUAGAGACAUUCUUGAACAAAUCCUAUGAAGCGCUGCUGAGGAUUUGCCGAUGAAGAGCGUUGAUGGGCGCAGUCUUGCACUCCUCUGGUCGACGUGUGCAUGAGUGCGCUUUUCCGAGAGAAAUGCUCAUAUAAGGAGUUCCACCAUUGUCUUCCUCAUUCAAUCCACAAUCGAAAAAAAAAAACAGCUGAAACUUGUACCAACCCGGAAAUACCUGUAAGAUUUUCAGCACAGAUUUUCGGCACAGAAAUUCUCCUCCAUUGUCUGAAUUAUUUUUUAAAACUUUGGCCAUGUUAAGCAUGAGAAUCCAUCUCUUUAACACUGUGAACAACUCUGAAUACAUGAAACACCAUUGUAGCCCCCCUUUAAGAUGAUGACAUUCUGAGAUGAUCAAGUCAAACAGCCCAGAUUUCUGAGACAUUGACCUAUUGUUUGCUCUUCCUGACCAUCUGGCUUCUUAAGAUCAAGACACAGCUGUGCCUUUGUUUCUAUGAUAAUGUGAAGGUAUGGGUGAUACUGUCAGGGACCUCUGUAUUUAAAUGACACUGUUAUGCUGAUGAGAUCAAGGCUGGGAAAAUGCCAGUGUCUGGCAUUUUCCUGAUUCCAUUUGCUUGCUUUGUUUAAAUUGUCUCCAACUCUAUGUAUCCCUCCCCCUUGAAAUGUAUAUAAACUCCAAAAUAUCACUGCUUUGGUGAGACUUUUGAUGACUGCAGCGCCAUCCAGCGCGUUCUCAAUAAAGAAUUCUGCAGAAGAUUACCC